GACGAACGCUGGCGGCGUGCUUAACACAUGCAAGUCGAACGGAAAGGCCCUGCUUUUGUGGGGUGCUCGAGUGGCGAACGGGUGAGUAACACGUGAGUAGCCUGCCCUUGACUUUGGGAUAACUGCAGGAAACUGGGGCUAAUACCGGAUAGGAGCGCCUGCUGCAGGGUGGGGGUUGGAAAGGUUGGGCGGUGGGGGAUGGACUCGCGGCUUAUCAGCUGGUUGGGGGGGUAGUGGCUUACCAAGGCUUGGGGGGGUAGCCGGCCUGAGUGGGUGACCGGCCACAUUGGGACUGGGAUCCGGCCAAGACUCCUACGGGAGGAAGAAGUGGGGAAUAUUGAACAAUGGGCGGAAGCCUGAUGAAGAAACGCCGCGUGCGGGAUGACGGCCUUCGGGUUGUAAACCGCUUUAGCCUGUGCCGAAGCGUGAGUGACGGUAAUGGGUAAAGAAGCACCGGCUAACUACGUG
Molecule: ribosomal RNA, 468 nt
Filed under: uncultured bacterium
Lineage: Bacteria
Description: partial 16S ribosomal RNA
Rfam family: Bacterial small subunit ribosomal RNA
Source: RNAcentral